AGUCACUGAAGUUGCAACAUACCUACAGAUGGGACAUCCAUCACAAUCAUAAUAAAAAUACAGGAAUGGAGGUCCCUAUUUGCUUCAAACUACUAAGAAGAAAAUGCAAUUUUGAAUCCACAAAUCUAUGCAUUUAAAUAUAUAGAAGUAUGCCAGUGCACUUUCAUGCAUUUCAAAAACAAAACCACAAUCAUGCUCAAAAUACCUCCUAUAUUGGCUCUACCAAAGUUUCUAUUAAAA
Molecule: unclassified non-coding RNA, 240 nt
Filed under: Hevea brasiliensis (rubber tree)
Lineage: Eukaryota; Viridiplantae; Streptophyta; Magnoliopsida; Malpighiales; Euphorbiaceae
Source: RNAcentral